AUACUUACUUGGCAGAGGAGAGGAGAUACGAAGGUGGUUUCCAGGGUGAGGCAUAUCCUUUGUACUCUGAAUAUGCUAACCCCUGCAAUUCCCCAAAUGUAGGAAACUUGACUGCAUAAUUUGUGGUAGUGGGGCACUGAGUUCUCAUUCGUGUG
This 155-nucleotide small nuclear RNA is filed under the name Erinaceus europaeus (western European hedgehog). Its description in RNAcentral is "U1 spliceosomal RNA (ENSEEUG00000017479.1)". It matches the Rfam family "U1 spliceosomal RNA". From Rfam's summary of the family: U1 is a small nuclear RNA (snRNA) component of the spliceosome (involved in pre-mRNA splicing). Its 5' end forms complementary base pairs with the 5' splice junction, thus defining the 5' donor site of an intron. There are significant differences in sequence and secondary structure between metazoan and yeast U1 snRNAs, the latter being much longer (568 nucleotides as compared to 164 nucleotides in human). The record is from RNAcentral. Lineage: Eukaryota; Metazoa; Chordata; Mammalia; Eulipotyphla; Erinaceidae.